This 841-nucleotide ribosomal RNA is filed under the name uncultured bacterium. RNAcentral describes it as "bacterial SSU rRNA". It matches the Rfam family "Bacterial small subunit ribosomal RNA", at positions 28 to 902 of the family's 1533-position model. The record is from RNAcentral.
GACGAACGCUGGCAGGCGUGCCUAACACAUGCAAGUCAAGGGGUAGCAAUACCACUGGCGCACGGGUGAUUAACGGGUAAAUAAUCUGCCCUUAUCCCCGGAAUAACGCCGAUAAAUUGGUGCUGAAAACGGAUGAGGCACAAUGUGUCAAAUGUAAAGGAUAAGGAUGAGUCUGCGUCUGAUUAGCUAGUUGGUAAGGUAAUGGCUUACCAAGGCAACGAUCAGUAGCUGGUCUGAGAGGACGAUCAGUCACACUGGAACUGGGACACGGUCCAGACUCCUACGGGAGGCAGCAGUGAGGAAUUUUGCACACUGGAGGAAACUCUGAUGCAGCGACGCCGUGUGAGGGACGAAAGGGCUUUGCCCUGUAAACCUCUGUCGGACGGGAAAAAAAGUCUGGUCACUGGACUGGGAUUGUACCGUCAAAGGAAGGGUCGGCUAACUACGUGCCAGCAGCCGCGGUAAUACGUAGGACCCAAGCGUUGUCCGGAUUUACUGGGUGUAAAGGGUGCGCAGGCGGAACUGUGCGUCGAGGGUUAAAGACUUAGGCUCAACCUAAGGAAUGCCCUCGAUACGGCAGAUCUUGAGUGCGAGAGAGGAUAGUGGAAUUCCUGGUGUAGCGGUGAAAUGCGUAGAUAUCAGGAGGAACACCAGUGGCGAAGGCGGCUAUCUGGCUCGCAACUGACGCUCAGGCACGAAAGCGUGGGGAGCAAACAGGAUUAGAUACCCUGGCAGUCCACGCCUUAAACGAUGUAUGCUUGGUGUUGGGACAUCAGUCUCAGUGCCGGAGGAAACCCAUUAAGCAUACCACCUGGGGAGUACGAUCGCAAGGUUGCUGUCG